RNAcentral lists this ribosomal RNA (774 nucleotides) under uncultured bacterium. Its description in RNAcentral is "bacterial SSU rRNA". It matches the Rfam family "Bacterial small subunit ribosomal RNA", at positions 64 to 833 of the family's 1533-position model. The record is from RNAcentral.
GAGCGGAUGAAGGGAGCUUGCUCCCUGAUUUAGCGGCGGACGGGUGAGUAAUGCCUAGGAAUCUGCCUGGUAGUGGGGGAUAACGUUCCGAAAGGAACGCUAAUACCGCAUACGUCCUACGGGAGAAAGCAGGGGACCUUCGGGCCUUGCGCUAUCAGAUGAGCCUAGGUCGGAUUAGCUAGUUGGUGAGGUAAUGGCUCACCAAGGCGACGAUCCGUAACUGGUCUGAGAGGAUGAUCAGUCACACUGGAACUGAGACACGGUCCAGACUCCUACGGGAGGCAGCAGUGGGGAAUAUUGGACAAUGGGCGAAAGCCUGAUCCAGCCAUGCCGCGUGUGUGAAGAAGGUCUUCGGAUUGUAAAGCACUUUAAGUUGGGAGGAAGGGCAUUAACCUAAUACGUUAGUGUUUUGACGUUACCGACAGAAUAAGCACCGGCUAACUUCGUGCCAGCAGCCGCGGUAAUACGAAGGGUGCAAGCGUUAAUCGGAAUUACUGGGCGUAAAGCGCGCGUAGGUGGUUCGUUAAGUUGGAUGUGAAAGCCCCGGGCUCAACCUGGGAACUGCAUCCAAAACUGGCGAGCUAGAGUACGGUAGAGGGUGGUGGAAUUUCCUGUGUAGCGGUGAAAUGCGUAGAUAUAGGAAGGAACACCAGUGGCGAAGGCGACCACCUGGACUGAUACUGACACUGAGGUGCGAAAGCGUGGGGAGCAAACAGGAUUAGAUACCCUGGUAGUCCACGCCGUAAACGAUGUCAACUAGCCGUUGGGUUCCUU